Elaeis guineensis (African oil palm) is the source of this 1054-nucleotide RNA transcript. It is a transcript of the gene named prefoldin subunit 3, with no coding region annotated. NCBI's taxonomy places the organism in Eukaryota, Viridiplantae, Streptophyta, Magnoliopsida, Arecales, Arecaceae. The record is from RefSeq and is a predicted model, not a curated record.
CAGAAUCAAUAACUAAAUGCAUAUUUUAUGCAAAAUCCAAACCUUCUUCUUCUCCCGUUAAUGGCGGCUUCUACUUGUUCCUCCUCCCCCUGCGUAGCGGAGCGGAGGGGCAUCCCGGCUGCUUCCUUCGUGGAAGACGUGGAGACCUAUCUCAAGCAAUCCGGCCUCGAUGUCAGCUGCUCCCUCGCGUUCCUCCAAGAAAGGCUUCAGCAGUACAAGAUUGUGGAAAUGAAACUUCUAGCACAGCAGAGGGAUCUUCAGGCUAAAAUCCCUGAUAUUGAGAAGUGUUUAGAUAUUGUCGCCACUCUCCAAGCUAAGAAGGGUAGUGGUGAGGCAUUGAUUGCUGAUUUUGAGGUAUCUGAGGGCAUUUAUUCACAAGCGAUAAUAGAGGAUACUGAAUCAGUGUGUCUUUGGUUGGGAGCAAAUGUCAUGCUAGAGUAUUCUUGUGAUGAGGCCAAGGCCCUUCUACAAAAGAACUUGGAAAAUGCUAAAGCCAGUUUAGAAGUUUUUGUUGCUGAUUUGCAGUUCUUGAGGGAUCAAGUGACCAUCACUCAGGUUACUGGUGCUCGAGUGUAUAACUGGGAUGUUCAUCAGAGUAGACUAGCUGCAAAGGAAACUUGAUUUUCUAGUAGCUCCCUGUUAUUGAACUAGCUCUUGAUUGAUUAUGUUAUUUAGUUGGUCACUUCUUUCCUGUCACGGUUUUGGAUUUGGGUUCUUUUUGUUAGUUCUCGGUUAUGUUGUUGUGAGAUAAGGGUCAAUUUUUGCUAUCAGAAAGAAAUAUGAGAAAACAACUAGUACUGCUAUCUGAGCUUGAAGGCUGCAGGGCACAUUCCUCCUGUGGACCCCAACUCCUCUAUUGAAGAAUGAUGGCAAGCAUCAUGGCGUUUAUUUUGGUCCCAACUAGUUUGGGAUUAAGGCUUAGUUUAGUAUUUAUUUUGGCUCAACUGGCGUUGUAUGGUAUUAGACCAUGACUUUAUCCAGCCAUGGCAGAAAAUUAGUAUGAUAUGAGAUGUUAAUUUUUCUCCCAUUAUAAGGCAUGCUCUUUCCUUUUGUU